GAUGAACGCUGGCGGCGUGCCUAAUACAUGCAAGUCGAGCGAACAGACGAGGAGCUUGCUCCUCUGACGUUAGCGGCGGACGGGUGAGUAACACGUGGAUAACCUACCUAUAAGACUGGGAUAACUUCGGGAAACCGGAGCUAAUACCGGAUAAUAUAUUGAACCGCAUGGUUCAAUAGUGAAAGACGGUUUUGCUGUCACUUAUAGAUGGAUCCGCGCCGCAUUAGCUAGUUGGUAAGGUAACGGCUUACCAAGGCGACGAUGCGUAGCCCACCUGAGAGGGUGAUCGGCCACACUGGAACUGAGACACGGUCCAGACUCCUACGGGAGGCAGCAGUAGGGAAUCUUCCGCAAUGGGCGAAAGCCUGACGGAGCAACGCCGCGUGAGUGAUGAAGGUCUUCGGAUCGUAAAACUCUGUUAUUAGGGAAGAACAAAUGUGUAAGUAACUAUGCACGUCUUGACGGUACCUAAUCAGAAAGCCACGGCUAACUACGUG
This 497-nucleotide ribosomal RNA is filed under the name uncultured bacterium. RNAcentral's name for it is "partial 16S ribosomal RNA". It matches the Rfam family "Bacterial small subunit ribosomal RNA", at positions 28 to 507 of the family's 1533-position model. The record is from RNAcentral.